RNAcentral lists this unclassified non-coding RNA (149 nucleotides) under uncultured fungus. RNAcentral describes it as "sequence contains ITS1". Lineage: Eukaryota; Fungi. The record is from RNAcentral.
UUGAUUCAUGUUUCGUUCAGACACGGGACGGCAUCACACGUGAGGACGGCGCCGGAGCGCCGAAGCACGGGUCGCUUCCGCUGUUUUGGGGGUUCGAGGGCGCCGUGCGCCUUUCGGUAAUGAUCCCUCCGCAGGUUCACCUACGGAGA